RNAcentral lists this ribosomal RNA (429 nucleotides) under Actinomycetes bacterium. RNAcentral describes it as "Actinobacteria bacterium partial 16S ribosomal RNA". It matches the Rfam family "Bacterial small subunit ribosomal RNA", at positions 355 to 776 of the family's 1533-position model. Lineage: Bacteria; Bacillati; Actinomycetota; Actinomycetes. The record is from RNAcentral.
UAGGGAAUCUUCCGCAAUGGGCGAAAGCUUGACGGAGCAACGCCGCGUGAGUGAUGAAGGUCUUCGGAUCGUAAAACUCUGUUAUUAGGGAAGAACAAAUGUGUAAGUAACUAUGCACGUCUUGACGGUACCUAAUCAGAAAGCCACGGCUAACUACGUGCCAGCAGCCGCGGUAAUACGUAGGUGGCAAGCGUUAUCCGGAAUUAUUGGGCGUAAAGCGCGCGUAGGCGGUUUUUUAAGUCUGAUGUGAAAGCCCACGGCUCAACCGUGGGGGGUCAUUGGAAACUGGAAAACUUGAGGGCAGAAGAGGAAAGUGGAAUUCCAUGUGUAGCGGUGAAAUGCGCAGAGAUAUGGAGGAACACCAGUGGCGAAGGCGACUUUCUGGUCUGUAACUGACGCUGAUGUGCGAAAGCGUGGGGAUCAAACAGG